RNAcentral lists this unclassified non-coding RNA (217 nucleotides) under Hevea brasiliensis (rubber tree). The record is from RNAcentral. Lineage: Eukaryota; Viridiplantae; Streptophyta; Magnoliopsida; Malpighiales; Euphorbiaceae.
GGAAGACAUUGUGGUUUGUGUGGAGGAGGUACUGAUGGUAAACCUCCAAAAAAGCUAGUUUAUGGGGCUGCCAGUGAUGAUGAAGAACGCAGUGGGUCCUCUGCUUCUGAUGAACCUAACUAUGACAUGUGGGAUGGAUUUGGUGAUGAACCUGGCUGGCUUGGACGCCUCCUGGGGCCCAUAAAUGAUCGAUAUGGUAUAGCUGGGAUUUGGGUGC